GGCUCAGGACGAACGCGGCGGGCGUGCUUAACACAUGCAAGUCGAGCGGAAAGGCCCUUCGGGGUACUCGAGCGGCGAACGGGUGAGUAACACGUGAGUAAUCUGCCCUUGACUCUGGGAUAGCUCCGGGAAACCGGGAUUAAUACCGGAUAUGACCAUUCAAGACAUGUUGGGUGGUGGAAAGUUUUUCGGUCAGGGAUGAGCUCGCGGCCUAUCAGCUUGUUGGUGGGGUAAUGGCCUACCAAGGCGACGACGGGUAGCCGGCCUGAGAGGGCGACCGGCCACACUGGGACUGAGACACGGCCCAGACUCCUACGGGAGGCAGCAGUGGGGAAUAUUGCGCAAUGGGGGAAACCCUGACGCAGCGACGCCGCGUGCGGGAUGAAGGCCUUCGGGUUGUAAACCGCUUUCAGCAGGGACGAAGCGUGAGUGACGGUACCUGCAGAAGAAGCGCCGGCUAACUACGUGCCAGCAGCCGCGGUAACACGUAGGGCGCGAGCGUUGUCCGGAAUUAUUGGGCGUAAAGAGCUCGUAGGCGGCCUGUUGCGUCCGCUGUGAAAGCCCGGGGCUUAACCCCGGGUCGGCAGUGGAUACGGGCAGGCUAGAGGUAGGUAGGGGAGAAUGGAAUUCCCGGUGUAGCGGUGAAAUGCGCAGAUAUCGGGAGGAACACCGGUGGCGAAGGCGGUUCUCUGGGCCUUACCUGACGCUGAGGAGCGAAAGCGUGGGGAGCGAACAGGAUUAGAUACCCUGGUAGUCCACGCCGUAAACGUUGGGCGCUAGGUGUGGGAUCCUUCCACGGAUUCCGUGCCGCAGCUAACGCAUUAAGCGCCCCGCCUGGGGAGUAC
RNAcentral lists this ribosomal RNA (845 nucleotides) under uncultured bacterium. RNAcentral describes it as "bacterial SSU rRNA". It matches the Rfam family "Bacterial small subunit ribosomal RNA", at positions 21 to 883 of the family's 1533-position model. The record is from RNAcentral.